RNAcentral lists this ribosomal RNA (253 nucleotides) under uncultured bacterium. RNAcentral describes it as "partial 16S ribosomal RNA". It matches the Rfam family "Bacterial small subunit ribosomal RNA", at positions 524 to 776 of the family's 1533-position model. The record is from RNAcentral.
UACAUGGGGUGCAAACGUUGCUCGGAAUCAUUGGGCGUAAAGCGCGCGUAGGCGGUUACUUAAGUCGAAUGUGAAAGCCCUCGGCUUAACUGAGGAAGUGCAUCCGAAACUGAGUAGCUAGAGUACGAAAGAGGGUCGCGGAAUUCCCGGUGUAGAGGUGAAAUUCGUAGAUAUCGGGAGGAACACCGGUGGCGAAGGCGGCGACCUGGGUCGAGACUGACGCUGAGGCGCGAAAGCGUGGGGAGCAAACGGG